This is a long non-coding RNA of Cucumis melo (muskmelon), 1495 nucleotides long. RefSeq lists it as uncharacterized. The record is from RefSeq and is a predicted model, not a curated record. NCBI's taxonomy places the organism in Eukaryota, Viridiplantae, Streptophyta, Magnoliopsida, Cucurbitales, Cucurbitaceae. The transcript has 4 exons.
AACCCUUCCAUUCUCUCAGUGUAGUCUGCCGAUUUAUCUCCAUCAUCAUUCUCCUUCGAACCGUGUUAACUCAUCUCCUUCAAAUUGUGUUCCCAUUCGAUCCCUAAUUCCCUUCCAUGACUGUUUUUUUCUUUCUUCUUCUUCUUCUCCCUUUUUCCCUUCGAUUCCGAUUUCUCUUCCUUUUGGUUUAGAUGUAUCGUCGUUUGGUUUUGUUGGCGAAAAAGUUUAUCCCCCUUCUAUAGGAAAAACCCCCUUCUUCUCCCUUUUUCCUUUCUUUUUCGUAAAAGUUGUAUUGUACUCAAACAUUGAAGAUAUUUUUUUUUUCAUUUUUAAUUUAUGUUAGGCAUGUUCACAUCGUUAACAAGUUUUGUUAAAUGUGAUCAAUCUUUUUUGUCUUGAUCUUUCUGGUAAAAAAAAAAAAGAGACGCUAUGGAGAUAAUGUUAAAGGCUAUCGAGUCACUGGGGUGAAGUCUUUUUUUAAAAUUUCUUAUAAGUGCCAACAAAUUAGCGCAUCUCAUUGAUUGAGAAGCAAUCAUUUUUUCUUUUGUCUUGGAAGCUAUUUCUGGAAUUGUAAUUAUCUUGAGUGGUUCUCCUCUAUGCUAAGUGAGGAGUGUUGUUGUGUUCCUAACUUCUUUAGUCUAGUUUGAGUGAAGUUUUGUUUAUAUAACUAUUUGUUUAUUUAUUAUCAGUUGUUAUUAGAAGCUGAUAAAGCAUAGGGGUGGAAAAGAUAAACAUGAUGAAUCUGACAAAGGUUUAUUCUCCCAUCUGACUCAUGGUGUUGCUCAUGGAGCUGGAUAUCAUUCUCAUGGAUACCCUAAAAAUCUUCUUUAGCGAGGGAGUAUAAGAAAAAUUUGGUGGUAGUGAGUCCAAACACCAAAGAGCAGUGUAGUGAAGUUUUCAUUGCUAAACAGGCUCUCCUAGCAGCAAGGAACUCUACUGCUACUGUUUUUACUGGAACUUUUGGUGCACUUGCAAUUAUUUACCAGACAUCUGAGCAACAACACUACGUCAGUAGCCAUGAGCUUAUUGAAGGUUGAAGGUUGAAGACUGAGAAAACUGAGAAGAUUGUUUAGAUAGCCAGGCGAUCGUUGAAAGUGAAGGAAAAAACAUCAAAAAGCAUGCAGCAGCAGAAGAAAAGAAUCAUGCUUUACUCUAUAUGCAUUUAAACGAUUUAGAAAAUAACAUGCAACUAAUAAAUGAUGGACCUAAACGAAGAAUGUAAAAGGUAAACGAUGGGCUUACCUUUUGUAGUUCUCAACUUCUUCUUCGAACCAAAGCUUCUUCUCUGCCUGAAGAUCACGAGCAAGGACAACCACUAUGUUGACCUACUAAUCUUAGGACCAAGAACCGAGUUGUGGGACUCGUUUUUGUGAAAUAAAACUUUUAGAGAGAAAGGGUGGAGGUAGGUGUAUCGUUUAGGUAAUUUAUAAGAAAAUAUCACCCUCUUUUCAUUCUAUAAUGAGAAGUUUAUAUAUAAAAUUUACAUGCAAAUUGC